CUGCGCUCGUUCGUGUUUGCUGCGGUGACACGGUGCAGCAGUGAGUGAAAUUUUACUUCAUAAUCACGUAGUCGUAGUGGGUGUGGAGUGGGGAAAGGGAAGUGAGGAAGUGAGGAUAUUAUAUGACAUAUUAUGUGAUAACAUGUCACCUUUAGUGAGUGUUAGUGUGUGUAAUAGUGAGUGUGGUUGGAGCAGUGAUACGUGGCGCUGGGGAGGGAGAGCGGGUGGCUGGCUGGCUGGCUACAUUGUUUUGGUCAACACUGGUCAGUCUUGCCCCACACGCUCUUUUAACCAGUGUUUCCGUAUUCCCGGCAGCUUUUCCCUGUACCGAGCACCGCCAAGCAGCACCAGAGAGGCACGAAUAUGUAAGCCAGGUACAUAGCAGCCAUGGAUGGUACAUAGCAGCCAGUGGUACACAGCAGCCAAUGCAUAGCAGCCAUGGAUGGUACAUAGCAGCCAGUGGUACACAGCAGCCAAUGGUACAUAGUGGCCUGUUACCCUCUCGUGUCAAUUGGACAGAUGUUCCAUGUUACAGCACAUGAUUGUUGUGACUAAUUGUUUUGUGAGAGAGAGAGAGAGAGCUUGUCAGAUUAUUAAAUAAAAAUUCUAAUUGGU
Scylla paramamosain (green mud crab) is the source of this 615-nucleotide long non-coding RNA. RefSeq lists it as uncharacterized. The transcript is spliced from 2 exons. NCBI's taxonomy places the organism in Eukaryota, Metazoa, Arthropoda, Malacostraca, Decapoda, Portunidae. The record is from RefSeq and is a predicted model, not a curated record.